This is a long non-coding RNA of Rosa rugosa (rugosa rose), 1341 nucleotides long. RefSeq lists it as uncharacterized. The transcript has 6 exons. The record is from RefSeq and is a predicted model, not a curated record. Lineage: Eukaryota; Viridiplantae; Streptophyta; Magnoliopsida; Rosales; Rosaceae.
UUCUGCACAUCGAUAUUUAUUGCGGAUUGUUUUGCAAUUUUAAUGUUCCCGGAUUUAAUUUAUUGAACACUUAAGUGGGGUUAUAUACACUAUCAUAUCUAUUUAGAAAUUAAAUUUUGUGUACGAGUAUGAUUAAUUAGUCAUUCAUGAUAUAGUUUUCAAAAUGAUACAAGAACGGUGCUGAUGUACAUAGAUAUUAAUCACUAUCUUAAAACUUUAUUAUUCUAAUAUUUAUAACUAGUAUAUAGAAAAUUUUGCUGGUAGUUUGCAUUAAACUGAGUAUGUACUGGACUUGCUGUUGGACCUAACUACUUCAUGACUUCAAAUUUUACAUUUUCUUUUGUUAUAAAUGAGUAAUUGAAGGGAACAAGUUCUCAAUAUUAUUAGCUCAAUGGUGGAUAUCAAGGCAAUAUAAACUGUCCCUAAAAUCAUUUGGCCAAAAUAAAAAAAGUCGCUUCAUUUUUGUGAUUUGUAAAUAUUCUACUUUUACCAGUGUUUGUCUUGGAGUAUAGUGCAAAUGUGGAAGCUAUCUAGCUGCACAAGUUAAAUGCUGAUAAAAGCCCUUUCCAGCUAACCUUUGUUAAUCAGGUGAAGCGAUGUGCAGAGAUGUCAAGAAAGCUGCGCUUUUUUAAGGAUCAAAUCAGUAAAGCUGGUCUGCUUGGGUCUAUACGUCCAGUUUCACAACCAGAUAUUGAGUUGGAGGAAUUAGAGUUUCAACUUGGUGAGCACGAACAUGAGCUAAUUGAAAUGAACUCUAAUAGUGAAAGACUUCGACAAUCAUACAAUGAGCUCCUGGAGUUCAAGAUGGUAUUACAAAAGGGGUUUUAAUCUUUCAGGGGUUUUGUUUGUGUUGGAGUUUCUGAUCGUAGUGAUCAAUUGGCCUGGUUUGAGUUUCGCAGCAGGAGAUAGUUUCUCUGUACGAGAGGUUCUGUCAGCUCGAUCAUAGUGGCGGAGGUACGUGACCUAAGGUAAAAUUCCAGUUUCUUGCUGUCUAAACUCACUCAGUCCUUGGCUGCUUUAAACAAUUUUAGGCUAUAACUUUAAUUUCAGUUUUGUUUAGGUGCUGUACUCUGUAUACUAACUUUCUAUGCGAGUUUGCGUCUUUCAAUAUAGCUAAUUCUAUCUACUUGGAUCAUUCUCUUAUGACAAGGCAAUCCAAAUAUGGUCAUGGCACUAGCUGGGAAUAAAGCAGAUCUAGUAGAGUCAACUCUCGGUCAAUAUGCACUUGUUGCUUUAUUUUAGCAUUCUUACUAUGGUGUUUGAAAGCUUUUAAAUUUUUUAUUUUAUUCUUUUCUUAUAAGGGAACACGUAAAGCCAUGAAAGAUGUUUGUUUGAAAUAUA